CCUACGGGAGGCAGCAGUGGGGAAUAUUGGGCAAUGGAGGCAACUCUGACCCAGCAAUGCCGCGUGAGUGAUGAAGGUAAUUUUAUUGUACAGCUCUUUUCUUUGGAACGAAUAAAUGACGGUACCAAAGGAAUAAGCCCCGGCUAACUACGUGACAGCAGCCGCGGUAAUACGUAGGGGGCAAGCGUUGUUCGGAAUGACUGGGCGUAAAGGGUGUGUAGGUGGUUUGAUAAGUUAGAUGUGUAAUACCCAGGGCUUAACUCGGGUGCUGCAUCUAAAACUGUCGGACUUGAGUGCAGGAGGGGCAAAUGGAAUUCCUAGUGUAGCGGUGGAAUGCGUAGAUAUUAGGAGGAACACCAGUGGCGAAGGCGAUUUGCUGGACUGUAACUGACACUGAGGCACGAAAGCGUGGGGAGCAAACAGGAUUAGAUACCCCGGUAGUC
This 443-nucleotide ribosomal RNA is filed under the name uncultured bacterium. RNAcentral's name for it is "partial 16S ribosomal RNA". It matches the Rfam family "Bacterial small subunit ribosomal RNA", at positions 338 to 795 of the family's 1533-position model. The record is from RNAcentral.